UACUUCAAUUAACUAAUUCCUCAAAUAAUUAAAAAUCAUGAAACGGAAAAUACAAAAAUAAUAAAGUUUCAAAGUCCGAAUUGAAAAUACUGAAUCAAGUGACAUAGCUCAAUUGUUAUAAAAAUUUAACAACAUAAUUAAAUAAAAGUUUUUCCCAACAACAUCCUAACAGAGCGACUCCAAAUAAAUAGCAAAGCAACAGUUAUCCGAACACACCAUCUAUGAUUCGUCUCCUACCUGAAAAUCUACGGUUGCACACCGUAGGGCCAAGCCAGAAGGGGAAAUGUAAAGGUGAGUCAAAAUACAUCAAGAAAGUAACUGAAUUAAAACAACUCAAUAACUAACAACAUCAUAAACAACAACAAGACCACCUAAGCGGAUGGCCACGCACAUUCAUCAGUCAACCACAAUCAUCAAUCGUUAAUUAAAUAAAGAUAAAUAACAACAACAUUUAAAUAAAGAAAUAUAAUUAAAAUGCAUGCAAUACGCCUAGACUCGCUACAUGCAUGUGGUACUAAUUGCAACGUCAUUUCUAGUUUUACAUCAUAGAGGAUCAACGUCAUUAUUUUCAACUUCAUUAAGCAAUAUCAUUUUCAACGUCAUUAAGAAACAUCAUUUUCAACGUCAAUUAUACAACUUCAAUAGGCAACGUCAUUGGACACAUGAAUGAAUGCAUGUCAUGUUAUAAUAAGCAACUUCAAUAGGCAACAUCAUUUAACAACUUCAAUAGACAACUUCAUCAUCAUUAUAGCAACAUCAAUAAACAACGUCCUUAGGCAACAACAACAACACACCGGCCUACAACUCAAUUCCUAUCUCUCUAAAGUUUCGACUCAGCCAAUUAACCUUGCUGGACAGCAAGAUAACAUCCAAACAGUCCCUAACAUGCCCCGUUCCAUUUUUAAUUUAAUUUAAGUAGCGAAAUUUGUGAAAAAUAUUCAUUGAAUAGAACCAGGGAGAGUGAGGUAUCCCAAACCGUUCCAAAUUAUUCAACAUACUGUGCAUAAAAUUUUAAUAAAUUUUCACGAAAUUGUAAUAUUUUUAAUCACCUUUUUACUCCAAAUAAUUAAUUAAAAAUAGCUACGAGUGUCCAAAAAUUACAAAAUAGGUACCAACAUUUCAAGAAAAUUAUUUACUAUUUUUCGGUAAAACAAUUUUAAAAACAAUGAUCACCCGAGACCAUUCACGCGCCCCCACACGCCUGAAUCGCAAGUGGGCGAAGCCAACCCGCUACUGUUCAUCUCCUUCACCCGUUUCAUUGCAAAACGGGUCUCUCGACCCGGUUCCUCGACCCGACUCGUUCUCUCUCAUUUUUCAACGAAAAUUGACAUUCUUUAUACCGUUUUGAUCGUCAUUGAAUUCUAGGAAUAUACCCGAUAUUUAUUUUUAGAAAAGACACUCGAAUCGAAUGUUUUACAUAACAAAAGCUUCACACGAAUUUUUUAAACAAACACCAUUGAUGGUUGUUCAAAUGCUUCGGUUUUGACAUUCUUUCGACCUAGAAAAAUCCUAGAAUUGCCUUAGAAUCGUAUUUGAUGCUCAACACGUUAUGAAACCGUUUCUUUAGAAUUAUCAUCAAAAUCCCAAAAACCCCAUUAUUUGAAUUUCUCAAGAACAACACCAAUCCAUGGUUUUAUUUUACUCAACAUCGAAACACGAAUUGCAGCAACAACAAAAGCAUAAAAACAUUAUCAUAACAAAUUAUGAAAUCGAAAUUAAGAAUAAGUAUUGAAACAACAACAACAUCACAUAAUGGUAGGAGAAAGUAUAAGAACAACAACUUAAGCACAUACAUAAUCAAUACAAAGUAUGCCUAUUGAAUUCAGAGUUUUCAAGAGUAUAAAGCUCCCUUACUUGGAGUGCAGUGAAUUCCCUAUAUUGAGGUUAAACUCUUCCUUCCCUUUCUUCUCUUCACUCUCCCACGAGCUUUCUCUCUUCUCCUAUCCUUGCACUAUUUUUCUGUGUGUUUGUUUUUGUUAUUGGAUCAUCCUACUGAAAUUUUCC
This 2004-nucleotide long non-coding RNA is filed under the name Trifolium pratense (red clover). RNAcentral's name for it is "long non-coding RNA (TPRA_LNC003635)". The record is from RNAcentral. Lineage: Eukaryota; Viridiplantae; Streptophyta; Magnoliopsida; Fabales; Fabaceae.